CCAAUAGCGUAUAUUAAAGUUGUUGCAGUUAAAAAGCUCGUAGUUGAAUUUCGGGGUUAGUAGGUUGGUCAUGCCUCUGGUAUGUACUGGUCUCACUGAUUCCUCCUUCCUGAUGAACCUUAAUGCCAUUAAUUUGGUGUUUUGGGGAAUUUGGACUGUUACUUUGAAAAAAUUAGAGUGUUUAAAGCAAGCUAACGCUUGAAUACAUUAGCAUGGAAUAAUGAAAUAGGACGUUCGAUCCUAUUUUGUUGGUUUCUAGGAUUGACGUAAUGAUUAAUAGGGAUAGUUGGGGGCAUUAGUAUUCAAUUGUCAGAGGUGAAAUUCUUGGAUUUAUUGAAGACUAACUACUGCGAAAGCAUUUGCCAAGGAUGUUUUCAUUAAUCAAGAACGAAAGUUAGGGGAUCGAAGACGAUCAGAUACCGUCGUAGUCUUAGCCAUAAACUAUGCCGACUAGGGAUCGGAUGAUGUUAAUUUUUUAAUGACUCAUUCGGCGCCUUACG
RNAcentral lists this ribosomal RNA (500 nucleotides) under uncultured Glomeromycotina. RNAcentral describes it as "partial small subunit ribosomal RNA". It matches the Rfam family "Eukaryotic small subunit ribosomal RNA", at positions 591 to 1092 of the family's 1831-position model. The record is from RNAcentral. Lineage: Eukaryota; Fungi; Glomeromycota.